UGGGGAAUAUUGCACAAUGGGCGCAAGCCUGAUGCAGCCAUGCCGCGUGUGUGAAGAAGGCCUUCGGGUUGUAAAGCACUUUCAGCGGGGAGGAAGGCGACAAGGUUAAUAACCUUGUCGAUUGACGUUACCCGCAGAAGAAGCACCGGCUAACUCCGUGCCAGCAGCCGCGGUAAUACGGAGGGUGCAAGCGUUAAUCGGAAUUACUGGGCGUAAAGCGCACGCAGGCGGUCUGUCAAGUCGGAUGUGAAAUCCCCGGGCUCAACCUGGGAACUGCAUUCGAAACUGGCAGGCUAGAGUCUUGUAGAGGGGGGUAGAAUUCCAGGUGUAGCGGUGAAAUGCGUAGAGAUCUGGAGGAAUACCGGUGGCGAAGGCGGCCCCCUGGACAAAGACUGACGCUCAGGUGCGAAAGCGUGGGGAGCAAACAGG
Molecule: ribosomal RNA, 429 nt
Filed under: Chloroflexota bacterium
Lineage: Bacteria; Bacillati; Chloroflexota
Description: Chloroflexi bacterium partial 16S ribosomal RNA
Rfam family: Bacterial small subunit ribosomal RNA
Source: RNAcentral